AAAUAACAUAAUUAAGAUAUAUGAAUUUGUACGUUCAUUAUUGCGUAUAUUGAAGGUUCUGCCUAUUUGGCCUAUGUACUUUUUUCUCAAGUUACACAUUUCUUCUCGUAAAUAUUUUAAUAUACAGGGGCAUUUUCCUUUAAAGUACUUAUUACAAGCUGUCGGAAGGAGAAGUUAUUGUGUCAGAGAAACGUCUGUUAUGACAUAUUAAAAAGUAUUAAUACAAUGAAAAUAGUAAUUGUUAAUUCAUCUUAAUAUGAAUCUUUAUCAAAUGACUACCAGGUCAAUUAACUACGGAAAAUUUUAUUUACAAAGGAACGCCCUGUAUUUCGCACUAGGGCGGUGAACAUUUUAUGUGUUUAUCCAAUCGAGGAACAAUAAAACAUGUUUUUUUUCAGUCAUAAUCUCAUUAUCAGAAACAAAAUCCAAACGAGCAAGUCUUUAUUAGGAUGAGUAAUAAGUAUCAAGUUUUUUUUUUAUAGUUGAUAAGAUACGUUAUCGCUCGCCCUCCCAUAACAGAUAGUGGAAGACUUUAAAUGUUAAUGUUAAAUGUGAUCCUUAUUUGAUCAGUUAUUAAUAAAGUAUACGUUGGUUGUGGGGAUAAAAUUGCGCAAAACGUGCACGUUGUAAUCUGUCAACUUUGCGUUAGGUAAAGUAUACACGUUGCGAUAUCACAAUUCAGAUCGUUAAAAAAAAUGACCAGUAAAGUAUCCCGGUGGAACAUUCGCUCACACUGGCGACGAUAAUGGGGUCGGUUGUUCUAAUUGUUCGCAUUGCGAUAAAUUAUUCAAAAUCGCGUUGCUUUAGUUCGUGUAGUUCUAUACCUGGUAGGUCCAUAUUUGAAACAGAAGUGGUGUUCGAUACUUGAAUAAUAAACAUUCGUUAAAAAUAAGUAAGAUGAGUGAACAUUCUGGGGAGACGCCGCACGGAUGUUUCAAAGUGCCGGACAACUUUUAAUACUUAGUUUUUAUCUUAAUAAAAAAAAACAAUUGCGGUUUAAUUAAGGUUUGCUGAAUAUUAUUCAUGUCAUUGUACAGAAUAUUGUCGACACAUAGUCUGUUAAUAAUUGUGACUUGUGUUGUUACUUGUAUUGAUAAGUAUAUCCUGUUUUAUAUCGUAAUCGACUGUGGUGUUAACUACAGCAUCCUUCCUUUUGGCGGUUACAACGCAAGUGGCUGUUUGCUGGUUAAAUAUUACCAAUAAUGAAGAAUUCUGUACAACUUUUUGUGCUGGUGAUAAGUGGUGUUUUAAUUGUCAUUAUAUCCGGAGAUUUGACCACAAUAACCAGCGACACUACUACAGACGAUUACUAUAAUUGCAGCACAGUGUCCCAAUUGGUUAAUUUAUCGACAAAUUCAUCGGCUAAUAAAAUUCAUAUAUCAUGGGAAAAAGUCAAUGACAGUCCCUUCUGUGAGGUAAACUACGAUAUAAAUGUAACAUUAUUAUCAGGAUUGCAAAUAAUUCCAUACUUUCGACAUGAAAAUCGAACUUUUCACACAAUAACAGACUUAGAGAGUUGCUCCAAAUACUUCGUGUCUAUUGCACCGACAUCAUUCGUUGAUUAUGAUGACGACAAAUCUUUUAUCCAAAAGUUUGAAAUUACAACACUACCCGAGAAAGUACAAAAUUUGAGUCUUCGCUUCCAGAAUGAUAUGAAUAUGACGCACAUAGAAUGGCUACCGCCAAAAAAUAAACAAUGCAUUUCAGAAUAUGUCGUUACAUGGAAUACAAAUAACGUUAUUAUAACGCCUAAUACGACAGCUAGUUUAGAAGGAUUACACUUUUGUGUAAAUUUUACCGUCCGAGCUAAGACAGAGCAGGACUCUGUUGGAGAAGUGGAAGCUUUAAUAAUUCCUGGACCUGUGCUCAAUCUAACAACAAAAGUUAAUUCUUCGUCAGUACUUCUGUCGUGGGACCCUCCAGAAAAUUCGGAAUGUGUAGAACAGUAUGUUAUAAAAUUGAACAACCAGUUUAUUGGUGUCACUUCGCAUACUUCCUAUCCAUUUAUAAAUUUAACGUUCUGUAUAAGUUAUAACUUUACCGUGAUUCCGGAAACUGUAGGAAGUUUUAGCAGGGGAGUGCCAAAUACAUUAAAAGAAGAAUUGUACCCUGAAGUGUUAGAUCCAGUGCAAUACCUCGAUAUUCCUGGUUUUGUCAAUCCCGAUGAAGUAAUUAGAUUUUCAUGGUCAGUGCCAUAUUCAGCCUACUUUUGCACAGUAACUUACGAGAUUCUGGUAACAAACUAUAACAGUGUCAAAGUGAAUACAACAAGGACAUUUUUUGAAAUCGAUACCAAAUAUGUUACUCCAUGUUCAGAAAUUAAAGUAUCCGUAACACCAAUUUUGAGGGAUGUCGUGGGACAAACAAGAAAUGCUUCUAUUAAAGUUGCUCCAAAAGUACCACAUCCACCCAUUCUUACAAACUACACAACGGGUUCUACAUGGAUUCGUUUUAAUUGGAAAAUUGAUGUUGCAAUAUAUAACUGUUCAACAACUAAUUUAAUAAAUGUUUCAUGUGUAAGCGAAGAAAGAGCAUUUUCUCUCAUAGAAAAUGUUACGAAAGAUGAUAUUUCAAUUAAUAAAACCGAACUUGUGCCAUUUACCACUUAUCUGUGUUGGGCAUACACAGCAAACCUUGCUGGACAAUCUAAUUACAGCAAAGUAACAAAUAUUACAACUAAUCAAGCACCACCAUCGAGCCCCACGCAUCUCAGAGUUGAAUCUUUAUCUAGCACUUCGUUUACCAUUGCAUGGGAACGUCCUAAGUAUAUACCAGGUCUACAGGGUGAUUACAGAUUAGAAAUAGAUUCUGAAGGUCCUCUCCACUAUAUUCCUGAAUUCUGCAAUGUUACAAGAGAAUAUAAUUUAGUCUACAGUAUUGGUUAUUUUAUUAGAGAAUAUAAUUUUUUAAAAGCGACACCAAAUUUCGGGUUUAGAAUACGACUGGCAGCAUCUACAGGGGCAGGAUUUGGCGAUUUUUCGCAAAUGUCAAUUGUGACACCUUCAGCCGGGCCCGAACCUGUUAGAGAUUUGAAAUAUAUGAUAAAGUACUUUCAAACGGAGCAGUAUCAGACGGAAAUUUAUAUUUCCUUUAAUCCCCCUUGCAAUACAAACGGAAAUUUAAGUAGUUAUGAUAUAAUAUUAUCAGGAUCGCGCUCUAAUUAUAAUUCCUACAUAUAUGAAAUACAACUGCAGAAAUUGCAACCCAUUCUUCGGAAUUUGUCAGCAGGAUACAACUAUAAUUUGACCGUUACAGCUGCAACAAAGGCUGGCUCAGGGACGCCUGUUAUAAAGCAAUUUAUUGCACCAGAUGGAGUACCACCGAAAAUGCUUGAUUCCUUGAUAGAACCAGAACAAAUUGAUUCUGGGACGGCAAAGUUCGUGUUUUCUAAUCGUUUAUUUUCGGAUGUAAAUGGAGACAUAAUUUAUUAUGCAAUAAUCUUAGCGGACGCAGAUUUUAAUGAAUCAACUUAUGGGUUUUGGAAUUAUUCUCAAAAUGAUUGGCCAUUUGUGGGCUUAUGGAACGAUGAAGCGGAAACAAUUUUACCUUAUCAGGCCACUCCCGAUUACUGGAAUCCGUUCAGAGAAUGCUCUAAGGUUUGCAAUUAUACAUAUAUACUGGGCGAUUCAAAAUGUACUCCAAACACGACUUGCAAUGGUUCCUUAAGGAAAGAUAGAAAAUAUUCCCUAAUUCUUAGAGGUUUUACCCGUCAUGGCUACCGUGAUAGUCUUCCAAUAUUCUUCGUCAUGUGUGAUCCCGCUUCACCAAUAUUCAAAUUGGAUGUUGCGAAAUUCAUUGGUGCAAUAGUUGGUGCAUUAUCUGCAUUAACUUUAUUCGGAUUUAUGUAUAUGAUUUGGAAAAAACAAAAUCGGUCUCCAAAACCGACAAAUGCGGCACCAAAACUGAGUGAAAUGGAUAACCUGCAACCCAUGCCGGUUCCAAUUCCAGUUAAUAAGUUUCCAGAAGUAUAUCGAGAUUUAAAAGUAAACAGUCAAAAGAUUAAGCAACAGUACACUUUGAUUAACACGAAAAGUUCUGAAGAAAUGUUACCUUAUUAUGCAGCCUUACUACCGAAUAAUCGAAAGAAAAAUAGUUGAUGAAACCAGAGUGAAAUUAAUAAACGAAAAGGAACCACGAAACGAUUACAUAAAUGCAUCCUUUAUAAAGGGUUAUUCGGGU
This 4179-nucleotide unclassified non-coding RNA is filed under the name Agrilus planipennis (emerald ash borer). RNAcentral's name for it is "receptor-type tyrosine-protein phosphatase eta-like, transcript variant X3". Lineage: Eukaryota; Metazoa; Arthropoda; Insecta; Coleoptera; Buprestidae. The record is from RNAcentral.